UAAGUAAAUCAGAUAGUCGCAAGCUUAGGCUUGAGGAAAGUCGGAGCUCCACAGGGCGAGGAUGCUGGUUAACGGCCAGUGGGGGUGACCCUAAGGAAAGUGCCACAGAAACAAACCGCCUAGCCUUCAGAAGGUUGGGUAAGGGUGGAAAGGUAAGGUAAGAGCUUACCAGCAUUUAGGUGACUAAAUGGCUCGGCAAACCCCAUCUGGAGCAAGACCGAAUAGGGGAACUUUAUAGUGGCCCGCUUCUGUUCCCGGGUUAGGUUGCUGGAGGUAUUAGGUAACUAAUAUCCUAGAUAGAUGACUAUCAAAUACAGAACUCCGCUUAUAGAUUUACUUACAUU
Molecule: RNase P RNA, 344 nt
Filed under: Syntrophomonadaceae bacterium
Lineage: Bacteria; Bacillati; Bacillota; Clostridia; Eubacteriales; Syntrophomonadaceae
Description: RNase P RNA component class A
Rfam family: Bacterial RNase P class A
About the family: Ribonuclease P (RNase P) is a ubiquitous endoribonuclease, found in archaea, bacteria and eukarya as well as chloroplasts and mitochondria. Its best characterised activity is the generation of mature 5'-ends of tRNAs by cleaving the 5'-leader elements of precursor-tRNAs.
Source: RNAcentral